This 1793-nucleotide ribosomal RNA is filed under the name Yersinia enterocolitica. RNAcentral's name for it is "bacterial LSU rRNA". It matches the Rfam family "Bacterial large subunit ribosomal RNA", at positions 1029 to 2925 of the family's 2925-position model. Lineage: Bacteria; Pseudomonadati; Pseudomonadota; Gammaproteobacteria; Enterobacterales; Yersiniaceae. The record is from RNAcentral.
AAGCCACACUAAACGUUGAGUUGGCCGAUGUGCUGACAAACGAACAGGCGUUUUAAGGAUACGUUCGUUGGGUAGGGGAGCGUUCUGUAAGCCGUUGAAGGUGGUCUGUGAGGGUUGCUGGAGGUAUCAGAAGUGCGAAUGCUGACAUAAGUAACGAUAAUGCGGGUGAAAAACCCGCACGCCGGAAGACCAAGGGUUCCUGUCCAACGUUAAUCGGGGCAGGGUGAGUCGACCCCUAAGGCGAGGCUGAAAAGCGUAGUCGAUGGGAAACAGGUUAAUAUUCCUGUACUUGGUGUUACUGCGAAGGGGGGACGGAGAAGGCUAGGCUAGCCGGGCGACGGUUGUCCCGGUUUAAGCAUGUAGGCGGAGUGACCAGGUAAAUCCGGUUGCUUAUCAACGCUGAGGUGUGAUGACGAUGCACUACGGUGCAGAAGUAGUUGAUGCCAUGCUUCCAGGAAAAGCCUCUAAGCAUCAGGUAACAUGAAAUCGUACCCCAAACCGACACAGGUGGUCAGGUAGAGAAUACUCAGGCGCUUGAGAGAACUCGGGUGAAGGAACUAGGCAAAAUGGUGCCGUAACUUCGGGAGAAGGCACGCUGGCAUUAGGUAAAGGGACUUGCUCCCGGCGCCGAAGCCAGUCGCAGAUACCAGCUGGCUGCAACUGUUUAAUAAAAACACAGCACUGUGCAAACACGAAAGUGGACGUAUACGGUGUGACGCCUGCCCGGUGCUGGAAGGUUAAUUGAUGGGGUCAGCCGCAAGGCGAAGCUCUUGAUCGAAGCCCCAGUAAACGGCGGCCGUAACUAUAACGGUCCUAAGGUAGCGAAAUUCCUUGUCGGGUAAGUUCCGACCUGCACGAAUGGCGUAAUGAUGGCCAGGCUGUCUCCACCCGAGACUCAGUGAAAUUGAACUCGCUGUGAAGAUGCAGUGUACCCGCGGCAAGACGGAAAGACCCCGUGAACCUUUACUAUAGCUUGACACUGAACAUUGAGCCUUGAUGUGUAGGAUAGGUGGGAGGCAUAGAAGUGUGGACGCCAGUCUGCAUGGAGCCAACCUUGAAAUACCACCCUUUAAUGUUUGAUGUUCUAACUCGGCCCCGUAAUCCGGGGUGAGGACAGUGUCUGGUGGGUAGUUUGACUGGGGCGGUCUCCUCCCAAAGAGUAACGGAGGAGCACGAAGGUUAGCUAAUCACGGUCGGACAUCGUGAGGUUAGUGCAAAGGCAUAAGCUAGCUUGACUGCGAGAGUGACGGCUCGAGCAGGUACGAAAGUAGGUCUUAGUGAUCCGGUGGUUCUGAAUGGAAGGGCCAUCGCUCAACGGAUAAAAGGUACUCCGGGGAUAACAGGCUGAUACCGCCCAAGAGUUCAUAUCGACGGCGGUGUUUGGCACCUCGAUGUCGGCUCAUCACAUCCUGGGGCUGAAGUAGGUCCCAAGGGUAUGGCUGUUCGCCAUUUAAAGUGGUACGCGAGCUGGGUUUAGAACGUCGUGAGACAGUUCGGUCCCUAUCUGCCGUGGGCGUUGGAAGAUUGAGAGGGGCUGCUCCUAGUACGAGAGGACCGGAGUGGACGAAUCACUGGUGUUCGGGUUGUCAUGCCAAUGGCAUUGCCCGGUAGCUAAAUUCGGAAGAGAUAACCGCUGAAAGCAUCUAAGCGGGAAACUUGCCUCGAGAUGAGUCUUCCCUGGGGCUUUAAGCCCCCUGAAGGAACGUUAAAGACGAUGACGUUGAUAGGCUGGGUGUGUAAGUGCAGCGAUGCAUUGAGCUAACCAGUACUAAUGAACCGUGAGGCUUAACCUU